CCUACGGGCGGCAGCAGUGGGGAAUAUUGGGCAAUGGGCGCAAGCCUGACCCAGCAACGCCGCGUGAAGGAAGAAGGCUCUCGGGUUGUAAACUUCUUUUCUCAGGGACGAAGCAAGUGACGGUACCUGAGGAAUAAGCCACGGCUAACUACGUGCCAGCAGCCGCGGCAAUACGUAGGUGGCAAGCGUUAUCCGGAUUUACUGGGUGUAAAGGGCGUGUAGGCGGGAACGGAAGUCAGAUGUGAAAACCAUGGGCUCAACCUGUGGCCUGCAUUUGAAACUGUUUUUCUUGAGUACUGGAGAGGCAGACGGAAUUCUUAGUGUAGCGGUGAAAUGCGUAGAUAUUAGGAGGAACACCAGUGGCGAAGGCGGUCUGCUGGACAGCAACUGACGCUGAGGCGCGAAAGCGUGGGGAGCAAACAGGAUUAGAUACCCUAGUAGUC
RNAcentral lists this ribosomal RNA (443 nucleotides) under uncultured bacterium. RNAcentral describes it as "partial 16S ribosomal RNA". It matches the Rfam family "Bacterial small subunit ribosomal RNA", at positions 338 to 795 of the family's 1533-position model. The record is from RNAcentral.